This is a long non-coding RNA of Tribolium madens (black flour beetle), 376 nucleotides long. RefSeq lists it as uncharacterized. The transcript has 3 exons. Lineage: Eukaryota; Metazoa; Arthropoda; Insecta; Coleoptera; Tenebrionidae. The record is from RefSeq and is a predicted model, not a curated record.
GCAAUAUCCGUAUGAAACAAAGAAGAGAGUGAGAGUGAGAGACCAGAAAAACAUGAAGAAAAAGGGAGUCACGUUAUGUUGAAAUUAGUUGAUAUUAUUGACAGACCACAUGAUUCCCCAGAAGACCAGCCCACAAAUUCACCGAAAAGCGUUGCUGAAAUGCCCUCGGAAUUAAAACAUUAGCAAAAAUACUAACUUUUCGUACUAAAUGCAAACAUCGCAACACUCUUCUGGAUUUUUUAAUGAAAAAACAGCCAAGGGGUUAUAGUAAGCUCAUGUGAGUGGAAGAAAACAACAAUAAAUUGUUGUUGAAAUUUUGAGAAGGAUAAUACACUAGUUUUCAAGCUCUAAAAUUCAUUUAUCGGUUUGUUAAUCU